RNAcentral lists this ribosomal RNA (509 nucleotides) under uncultured bacterium. RNAcentral's name for it is "bacterial SSU rRNA". It matches the Rfam family "Bacterial small subunit ribosomal RNA", at positions 29 to 532 of the family's 1533-position model. The record is from RNAcentral.
AGCGAACGUUUGCGGCGGGCUUAACACAUGCAAGUCGAACGGGCUGUUCCUUCGGGGGCAGUCAGUGGCGCACGGGUGCGUAACACGUAGGUAAUCAACCCUCUGGUUGGGGAUAACACUUCGAAAGGAGUGCUAAUACCCGGUAUGGCGCAGCGGUCUUCGGAUCGCGGCGAGAAAGACCCGCAAGGGUUGCCAGAGGACGAGCCUGCGGCCCAUCAGCUAGUUGGCGAGGUAACGGCUCACCAAGGCGAAGACGGGUAGCUGGUCUGAGAGGAUGAUCAGCCACACGGGUACUGAGACACGGACCCGACUCCUACGGGAGGCAGCAGUAAGGAAUAUUGGACAAUGGGCGCAAGCCUGAUCCAGCCAUCCCGCGUGCAGGAUGACAGCCCUACGGGUUGUAAACUGCUUUUGUUAGGGAAGAAACCCCUCGAUUUAUCGGGGGCUGACGGUACCUUUCGAAUAAGCACCGGCUAACUCCGUGCCAGCAGCCGCGGUAAAGUCUAGCA